GUUUGAUCAUGGCUCAGGACGAACGCUGGCGGCGUGCUUAACACAUGCAAGUCGAACGAUGAACCACUUCGGUGGGGAUUAGUGGCGAACGGGUGAGUAACACGUGGGCAAUCUGCCCUGCACUCUGGGACAAGCCCUGGAAACGGGGUCUAAUACCGGAUACUGACCCUCGCAGGCAUCUGCGAGGUUCGAAAGCUCCGGCGGUGCAGGAUGAGCCCGCGGCCUAUCAGCUUGUUGGUGAGGUAAUGGCUCACCAAGGCGACGACGGGUAGCCGGCCUGAGAGGGCGACCGGCCACACUGGGACUGAGACACGGCCCAGACUCCUACGGGAGGCAGCAGUGGGGAAUAUUGCACAAUGGGCGAAAGCCUGAUGCAGCGACGCCGCGUGAGGGAUGACGGCCUUCGGGUUGUAAACCUCUNUCAGCAG
Molecule: ribosomal RNA, 428 nt
Filed under: Streptomyces rubrogriseus
Lineage: Bacteria; Bacillati; Actinomycetota; Actinomycetes; Kitasatosporales; Streptomycetaceae
Description: bacterial SSU rRNA
Rfam family: Bacterial small subunit ribosomal RNA
Source: RNAcentral